Molecule: ribosomal RNA, 303 nt
Filed under: uncultured bacterium
Lineage: Bacteria
Description: partial 16S ribosomal RNA
Rfam family: Bacterial small subunit ribosomal RNA
Source: RNAcentral
AGCAGUAGCCGCGGUAAAACGUAGGGUGCGAGCGUUAAUCGGAAUUACUGGGCGUAAAGCGUGCGCAGGCGGUUAUAUAAGAUAGAUGUGAAAUCCCCGGGCUCAACCUGGGACCUGCAUUUGUGACUGUAUAGCUAGAGUACGGUAGAGGGGGAUGGAAUUCCGCGUGUAGCAGUGAAAUGCGUAGAGAUGUGGAGGAACACCGAUGGCGAAGGCAGCCCCCUGGGCCAAUACUGACGCUCAUGCACGAAAGCGUGGGGAGCAAACAGGAUUAGAUACCCGAGUAGUCCCUGUCUCUUAUAC